This 522-nucleotide ribosomal RNA is filed under the name uncultured bacterium. RNAcentral's name for it is "bacterial SSU rRNA". It matches the Rfam family "Bacterial small subunit ribosomal RNA", at positions 551 to 1074 of the family's 1533-position model. The record is from RNAcentral.
UAACUGGGUGUAAAGGGCACGCAGGCGGUGACUUAAGUGAGGUGUGAAAGCCCCGGGCUUAACCUGGGAAUUGCAUUUCAUACUGGGUCGCUAGAGUACUUUAGGGAGGGGUAGAAUUCCACGUGUAGCGGUGAAAUGCGUAGAGAUGUGGAGGAAUACCGAAGGCGAAGGCAGCCCCUUGGGAAUGUACUGACGCUCAUGUGCGAAAGCGUGGGGAGCAAACAGGAUUAGAUACCCUGGUAGUCCACGCUGUAAACGAUGUCGAUUUGGGGGUUGAACUUUAAGUUUGGCGCCCGUAGCUAACGUGAUAAAUCGACCGCCUGGGGAGUACGGCCGCAAGGUUAAAACUCAAAUGAAUUGACGGGGGCCCGCACAAGCGGUGGAGCAUGUGGUUUAAUUCGAUGCAACGCGAAGAACCUUACCUACUCUUGACAUCCAGAGAACAUUCCAGAGAUGGAUUGGUGCCUUCGGGAACUCUGAGACAGGUGCUGCAUGGCUGUCGUCAGCUCGUGUCGUGAGAAG